RNAcentral lists this long non-coding RNA (1133 nucleotides) under Capra hircus (goat). RNAcentral's name for it is "lncRNA (ENSCHIG00010020646.1)". The record is from RNAcentral. Lineage: Eukaryota; Metazoa; Chordata; Mammalia; Artiodactyla; Bovidae.
GAUGACCAAACAUUAAGUACCUCAUGCAAGUAAUAUUCUGUUAAGCAUGAACUACAGGUUCUUUUAACUGAAUUUCAUAUUGUACAAAACUUAAGUGUGGCACAUUUCUACUAUUACCAUUACAUUAUUUUUUUUUAAAAAUGUAGUCAGAAUUGAUACAUUACACAGACCUUUUGAUUUAAAAUAUAACCAAAGGAAACCAUUACAAACUCUUAAUUCAAACAGGCAUUUUUCUAUACAAACAUGAGUUAUUUUAGUCUAAAAAAAAUAGCCAUUUCAAUGCAAUUAAGCCACCUCUGAUUAAGACAUACAUUUCAUGCAUGUGAAAAAAUAAGUUUACAUUCAAGAAUCAGUUCCAUAGCAAACAAAUUACAGCAUUUAUUCAAGAAGGAAUAUUAAAAAUAAUUCCAGUUAAUAGAAAAUAAAAUAACUUCAAGCACAUAUAUUAUAAUUUAUCGUGUACAGACUCCAAAAUCUCCAGAAUUUAAUUAGGAAAUUUAAAGAAUUUCUUUUGAAAGUACGUCUUAGAAAACCAACCAAAACAAUUGGUGCCGUAACUAAAGAGAACGUCCGUACACAUCCACAUUUGACCUACAUGUAAAAACUGGAUGAAAUAUAGAGGAAAUAAAGGUUACUGUUUUCUAAAAUCUCAGAAAUAUAAUAUUAGUACUUAGGUCAAAACACUUACCUGCAAAUUAAAAACAGCUUGAGGUAUUUCCAAUGCUGAAGCAAAUUUCUGAAUGUUAAAUACCACAAGAAUGAAAACAGUCUCCUUUGAACAUUUAUACCUGGUUUAUAGUUGAGACAGAAGACAAGGUCUGCCAAGAAGUUUUCCCAUCUCACCUAUAUUCUUGGAUCCCUGAUGAAGUGUAAGCUUCAAGGGAAAUGGUCACAUGUAAAAAGAGCCAAAUGGUACUUGAAGUCUUUACACAUGACACACGAAAAUGAUGAAGUGUUUUAUUUAGAUUUGGUCUUUCUUCAUCUUUUUGUAACUCUGGAUCCUGAAAGGUUAGCAAGUCGUUAUACUCAUACAUCUUGUAAACGUAUAAGCAGCAGACGUGUUUCACAUGAAAGAGGCUCUACGCAUCACACAGCCUGUCCCAACAAAAGAAACAUCACAAUGCCAUUUCAGC